Long non-coding RNA from Meriones unguiculatus (Mongolian gerbil), 937 nucleotides. RefSeq lists it as uncharacterized. The record is from RefSeq and is a predicted model, not a curated record. The transcript is spliced from 5 exons. NCBI's taxonomy places the organism in Eukaryota, Metazoa, Chordata, Mammalia, Rodentia, Muridae.
CUAAAGUAUUGCUGUGUAACCUGGCUUUCCUGAUUGGCUGAAUAAAAGGCCUACACCUGGGCAGGGCAGAAGUGAGAGACAGAGCUAAGGUUCGAGGGCUUGAAGGACAGAAGGAUCACGGGAGGAGACAGGGGAUCUGAUGGAAUCUGGAGCUUUUAAAGUCAGCAAAAGCUGAUUAGGCAAGUCCGGAUUCACCUGCCUCUGCCCGCAACGCUAGAGGUACAGACAGGCAUGUGCAAAUGUGCCCAGCUUUCAUGUGGGUGCUGGAGGGGCGAACCCAGGCUCUCCUGCUUUUAUAGUAAGCUGUAAGCCUGCAGCAAUCCAAUCCAGGUGCCUCGUCCUUCCAAGCGCUAGGAUCAGAGGCAUGCGCCACUGGGCAUGGCCUGCUCUUUACCUCUCUAACUACACAGAAGGCACAGUUUCUCCACUGCUUGGCUUCCUACGGGAUGCUUCCCUGCUAAACCUCCUCUUUUAGUGAGCUCAAAGCAGCCCUCGGCAAGCUGACUCGAACUGGCUUCAACGUUGUGUGGGUCUCUCUGUUACCCACACAUCCCUGCUUUAUUUGGAAGAGCCGUGUGCGUCAGUGGGCUGCUCUCCUGCGUCAGGUUAUGCUAUCGCUUCGACUGACUGGCCCUUCACAUGCCCCCCAUCACAGCACAGCAGAACGGUCGGCCUUACAGCCUUCGUCUCCCUGUUCCGGGACGUCUGAACCAACACCCAUCGCCUCCUACAUCGCCGUCUCUGACUUUUCUACGUCUGUCGCUCGUCCAGCUUGUCACCGUCACACGUCAUUUUGUUUAUUCAAUUAGACACAUGUCGCUUUGGAAAUUCACUACUUGUCAAACCGUUCUUGUAUACAAUCUGAAACUCCAAUCAGUCCACCAUGGAGCUUAGGUGGCCUCACAUUUUAAAGUAACGUAUUUUAUAACAACAUUUU